RNAcentral lists this ribosomal RNA (292 nucleotides) under uncultured bacterium. RNAcentral's name for it is "partial 16S ribosomal RNA". The record is from RNAcentral.
GGACUACAAGGGUUUCUAAUCCUGUUUGCUCCCCACGCUUUCGCGCCUCAGCGUCAGCAUCGGCCCAGCGAGCCGCCUUCGCCACCGGUGUUCUUCCCGAUAUCUACGCAUUCCACCGCUACACCGGGAAUUCCACUCGCCUCUACCGAGCUCUAGCCAGACAGUCUCACCUGCAGCCCCGGAGUUGAGCCCCGGGAUUUCACAAGUGACUUAUCCAGCCGCCUACGCGCCCUUUACGCCCAGUGAUUCCGGACAACGCUCGCACCCUCCGUAUUACCGCGGCGGCUGGCAC